AUUGAACGCUGGCGGCAUGCCUUACACAUGCAAGUCGAACGACAGCGGGGGAGAAGCUUGCUUUUCCUGCCGGCGAGUGGCGAAUGGGUGAGUAAUACAUCGGAACGUGCCCUGUAGUGGGGGAUAACUAGUCGAAAGAUUAGCUAAUACCGCAUACGACCUGAGGGUGAAAGUGGGGGACCGCAAGGCCUCAUGCUAUAGGAGCGGCCGAUGUCUGAUUAGCUAGUUGGUGGGGUAAAGGCCUACCAAGGCGACGAUCAGUAGCUGGUCUGAGAGGACGAUCAGCCACACGGGGACUGAGACACGGCCCAGACUCCUACGGGAGGCAGCAGUGGGGAAUUUUGGACAAUGGGCGAAAGCCUGAUCCAGCAAUGCCGCGUGUGUGAAGAAGGCCUUCGGGUUGUAAAGCACUUUUGUCCGGAAAGAAAUGGCUCUGGUUAAUACCUGGGGUCGAUGACGGUACCGGAAGAAUAAGGACCGGCUAACUACGUGCCAGCAGCCGCCGUAA
RNAcentral lists this ribosomal RNA (508 nucleotides) under uncultured bacterium. RNAcentral describes it as "partial 16S ribosomal RNA". It matches the Rfam family "Bacterial small subunit ribosomal RNA", at positions 30 to 523 of the family's 1533-position model. The record is from RNAcentral.